Molecule: small RNA, 83 nt
Filed under: Marmota monax (woodchuck)
Lineage: Eukaryota; Metazoa; Chordata; Mammalia; Rodentia; Sciuridae
Source: RNAcentral
GCCGGAAGUGGAGGUGCACACCUGUAAUCCUAGUGACUUGGGAGGCUGAGGCAGGAAGAUCUCAAAUUUGAGGCCAGCCUCAA